Dendrobium catenatum is the source of this 433-nucleotide long non-coding RNA. RefSeq lists it as uncharacterized. The record is from RefSeq and is a predicted model, not a curated record. NCBI's taxonomy places the organism in Eukaryota, Viridiplantae, Streptophyta, Magnoliopsida, Asparagales, Orchidaceae. The transcript is spliced from 2 exons.
GGGAGUUCGAUCGCCUACAUUUGGUUCGGCCGAACAUGAAAAUCAGCGUCAAGAUCAUUCAUGCUAGGUUGCAAGCUCAGGCAGUCACUUUGGCUGCUCUAGCCGGAGCCGCAGCGGUCGAGUAUUAUGACCGUCGAAUGAAUCCAGAAUCAAAAGAUGACAGAUAUUCAAAUCAAUAUCUGGCUCAUGCCCACAAAGAUUGAACAAAUUAGGCACCUGCUUGCUUCACUUGCUCGCCUCUCAGUACUGCUUCCAGUAUAAAACUAGUUUUUACAGGAAAACUGAACGGAUGAGUUUAGGAUUACAGAAUUAAUCUUUUUUGGUUUAUUUGAGAGUUCUUUGUGACUGAUUUAUAUUGAUGGAUUUAGACAUUGGUAACUGCACUUGAAUGUAUGUUAUGUUGAAUGUUUGAUAAUAAAUAUUUCAUUGUUGA